AAUGCUACUCUCCGGGAACAAUAUCCAGCUCUAUACAAUAUUGUGCGUCACAAGGGUGAUACUAUUGCCAAGGUUUUGGAAUCAUUUCCGCCAAAUGCGACGUUUAGAAGGGAUUUAAUUGGACCUAGACUCCAAUCAUGGAACACACUGCUCCAGCGGUUAACCACGGUAUAGUUGUCACAAGGAUCCGAUGUCUUUCGUUGGAACCUAUAUGGGAAUGGAUAA
RNAcentral lists this ribosomal RNA (225 nucleotides) under Triticum aestivum (bread wheat). RNAcentral describes it as "partial small subunit ribosomal RNA". The record is from RNAcentral. Lineage: Eukaryota; Viridiplantae; Streptophyta; Magnoliopsida; Poales; Poaceae.